Molecule: long non-coding RNA, 232 nt
Filed under: Mytilus galloprovincialis (Mediterranean mussel)
Lineage: Eukaryota; Metazoa; Mollusca; Bivalvia; Mytilida; Mytilidae
Source: RNAcentral
CUUCCUGUUUACCGAACACUUGUAUGAUUUUACACAUGAUAGCCAAGUUGAAAAUUUUCGUCACAUUUUUCUCAGGAACUACAAUACAAGGAUUUCUGAAAUUUGGUUUCAGGAUUUAUAUGAAGGCAGCUAUACCGUGUGAUGCGUUUUCAGAUUCAUCACUCGACAACUUCCUGUUUACCGAACACUUGCAUAUUUUUACACUAUUAAUAUUAUCCACUUGCGGCUGGGG